UCCCUCUUAGCUGAAUCAGUAAGUAAUCUGCCUGUAAUGCAGGAGAUCUGGGUUCGAUUCCUGGAUGGGAAG
RNAcentral lists this transfer RNA (72 nucleotides) under Bos taurus (domestic cattle). It matches the Rfam family "tRNA". From Rfam's summary of the family: Transfer RNA (tRNA) molecules are approximately 80 nucleotides in length. Their secondary structure includes four short double-helical elements and three loops (D, anti-codon, and T loops). Further hydrogen bonds mediate the characteristic L-shaped molecular structure. tRNAs have two regions of fundamental functional importance: the anti-codon, which is responsible for specific mRNA codon recognition, and the 3' end, to which the tRNAs corresponding amino acid is attached (by aminoacyl-tRNA synthetases). tRNAs cope with the degeneracy of the genetic code in two manners: having more than one tRNA (with a specific anti-codon) for a particular amino acid; and 'wobble' base-pairing, i.e. permitting non-standard base-pairing at the 3rd anti-codon position. RNAcentral also lists the same sequence under 5 other names. Lineage: Eukaryota; Metazoa; Chordata; Mammalia; Artiodactyla; Bovidae. The record is from Rfam by way of RNAcentral.